This 798-nucleotide ribosomal RNA is filed under the name uncultured Bacteroidota bacterium. RNAcentral's name for it is "bacterial SSU rRNA". It matches the Rfam family "Bacterial small subunit ribosomal RNA", at positions 66 to 872 of the family's 1533-position model. Lineage: Bacteria; Pseudomonadati; Bacteroidota. The record is from RNAcentral.
GGUAUUGUUCUUCGGAAUGAGAGACCGGCGCACGGGUGCGUAACGCGUAUGCAAUCUACCUUUCACAGAGGGAUAGCCCAGAGAAAUUUGGAUUAAUACCUCAUAGUAUAACACAACCGCAUGGUUGAGUUAUUAAAGUCACAACGGUGAAAGAUGAGCAUGCGUCCCAUUAGCUUGUUGGUAAGGUAACGGCUUACCAAGGCAACGAUGGGUAGGGGUCCUGAGAGGGAGAUCCCCCACACUGGUACUGAGACACGGACCAGACUCCUACGGGAGGCAGCAGUGAGGAAUAUUGGACAAUGGGCGCAAGCCUGAUCCAGCCAUGCCGCGUGCAGGAUGACGGUCCUAUGGAUUGUAAACUGCUUUUGCACAGGAAGAAACACUCGGACGUGUCCGAGCUUGACGGUACUGUGAGAAUAAGGAUCGGCUAACUCCGUGCCAGCAGCCGCGGUAAUACGGAGGAUCCAAGCGUUAUCCGGAAUCAUUGGGUUUAAAGGGUCCGUAGGCGGUUUGGUAAGUCAGUGGUGAAAGCCCAUCGCUCAACGGUGGAACGGCCAUUGAUACUGCUAGACUUGAAUUAUUAGGAAGUAACUAGAAUAUGUAGUGUAGCGGUGAAAUGCUUAGAGAUUACAUGGAAUACCAAUUGCGAAGGCAGGUUACUACUAAUGGAUUGACGCUGAUGGACGAAAGCGUGGGUAGCGAACAGGAUUAGAUACCCUGGUAGUCCACGCCGUAAACGAUGGAUACUAGCUGUUGGGAGCAAUUUCAGUGGCUAAGCGAAAGUGAUAAGUAUCCCAC